AUCGCCGAAGUUCAGCUCUGCACCUCCCGGGUUUUGACUGAGACAAAUAGCGUCCCGUGGAGGGGAGAGCACGCUCGGGGUCACGCAGGACUGCAACGGAGUUUCCCAGAUGGAACUUCGCAGCUGCGUGACCCUGCGUGUGUCACUUGGCCUCUGCUGGUCUCAGUUUCCUCGUCCAUAAAAUAGCCGUGCAGACGAGAGGAGUGCCCGGGUCCUUCCCGGCUUCCCAACUGCACUAUUUUCUGCCUGGGAAGCAGACGCCGGGGCAGCAGCAGGCGCUGAGCUAUUCCUGGGGCUCUCAGGCCUAGAGGAGGGCUAAGGGGAGGGGGGAGAGAAGGAGCGGCAGCCGGCCCCGAGGCCCGCUUCACCCCCAAGCCACCCUUCCGAGAUUAGGAGCAGUCCGGGUCCUUAGGCUGCAGCCGAGCCAAUCACGGCUUCAAAAGCCUCCGCGGUUCUCAGUUGUCCCGGGCGGGGGUGUGCCUCGGCGCGGCCCUCCAGGGCCUGCGGCUCUUCUCUCCGAGUCCUUUCAGGGUCCUCUAUUCUAUUUGUUCGCACCCCAAGCUCCUGCUGGAAGCCGAGCGCCCCCUCUUCCAGGAGCUGAUUCCCGAGCUCGGCCAUGAUUCAUUUGCUUAGACUUCAUGUGCGCGUCGUCGCGUUAUUCCUAGCCUCAGUUUACCGGAACGGCAGCCUGGCCCCAGGGGUCGAAGUGUCACACCGGUUGUAGCGGUCGGUGGGGCUCAGCGAACCCCCGGCGACCUCUCCGGCUCCCCCUCCCCCGCCCCCGUCAGUCCCAGGGCCUUUCCACCUGCUCUCGACAUCCUAGAGCCCAGCGGGCCACGGCCACGGCUGGCUCUCGCCGCGGUACCCGCGGAGCGCGAGCCUCGCACGCAGCGGGGCGGUUCCCAAACGGGCGCUUAAUGGGACCCAGCCAAAAGCCCAGUUCGGAAUUCGCCUUCUCCGGAGUGGGCUUAGUCAUUUAAUUGUCAUUAUAAUUUGAUCUCUUGACUUGAAUCAGGUCCAGGCGUUUCCUUUUCUCUAAUGGAGAGAGACCCAGCGGUUUCUCCCGGCCCCCACCCCACCCCACCCCCAUCCUCGCGGCCAGUUAAGGGGAGCUCUGGGAGUUCGAGCCUUUGGCUCAGGUGCCUCCCCCCCCCCCCAUCGGCCCUUUGGCUCGCCUUUCUGGUUGGGGGGAGGGCAGAGAAAGCUGGGAAGAGAGGAGGAAGAGGUGGUUGGGUGGUCGGUGUUUCCGUCAUAAGGGGGCUCAUGAGCAAUGAGGGAGCCUGGGGUGACCUGAGCGACUGCUGCCCCUCUCCUUUACCGGGAAGGAGGCCCGCCUUCAGCGGCGCUCGCGGGGCUCUGGCCGACCAAGGCUCCCCUGAGCAGAAGCCGGCCUCUGAGACCAGUGGUCGGGGCCCGGGGCGGGGGCGGGGGAGGGGGAGAGGCAAGGAGAGGGGCGGAGAGGGAAGGAGGAGGAGGAGGAGGAGGGUGGGGACUCGGGCUCAGCCUAAGAAAGACGUUCCUAACGGUCCCAGCUGCCCUCCAGUAGAGACUGCCUCUUCAGGUAGUGAGCUCCCCAGCACCAGAAACUAGAUCGCUGCGUUGAGAGCCUUCUGGUUUUCUAAGAGCCACCUCUGUGGGACCGCUCCGCGAGGGCACUUGGGCGCUGGCAAAAUUUCCUCAGCAGGACGUCCGGGCCUUACCGGAGCGCUGAAGAACCGAACCGAACCGAACCGGGCUGAACCCAGAGGCCUGGGGUACUCUCCUAGGGCCCCCGCUUCCAAGGGGGAUUAACCUCUUAAGGACCAUUCUCUCAGCUGGGCUCGAAACUCCUGUUCCUCCUUUCCCCACCUUGUCCAUUGAAGAACCUGAGCUUCCCUCAGGUGUACUUGAGCUCUAAUGCUGAUCUAGACUAAUUAAAACAAAAAAGCUAAUGAGCUUAGUCUGUAAUGACGGCUUAGAAGUCACCACUAUUUAUCACUGUUAUUAUCUUGAUGGAGGUUGCUGCUCAUUGCAAUAGCAGCCAAAUCCAGACACAUGGUGCAGAGGGGAAGGAAUGAACCUCAGGACCAAAGGGAACAAAAUGGUUACUGGCCUGGGGGAGUUCUUGUGCACAUUCAGAACUUGGGAACAAAUGGAAGGGAGAGGCUCCCUUAAGAUUCUUUCUGGUUCUUUGAGUCUGCCGAUGAUCUCGAGGUUCACGACACAGAACGCUGCUUUCCUAAAGAGCCCACACAUGCCCACGGGAAGUGAAGUGUGACAAAUGGAUCCGAGUUCUGGACGGGCCGGGACCCUGUGCUCCCGAGCUCUAGCACACCUGGCAUGGGCCUUCCCAAACGGAUCGCCCACUUGCAUUCAGACCCUCUGUGCCCAGCUCCCGAAACCCCUCUCCUUCACUCCCCCGGCUUGGUGAUGCUACGAUGAGUCCGGACCGAACCCGACCAAACCGGGUCCCCACAGCUCCCUGCUUCCCCUCAUUCCCCUUUCUGCUCCCUUCUGUUUAUUUCUGGAGUGAUUCAUUGCCCCUCUUUUCCCUAGUGCUCUCCUACUAUCUCCCUCCUUAUCUGAGAUGCCAACUGCCUGUUAGCCCUGCUCGUUCUGUCCUUUCCAGUACAAAGAACAUUCUCCUUGGCAGAGAAAGCAGAAGCAGAAGAAGGGCGUCAUCACUGAGCCUGGUCUGGGGUGCCAGGGCUCCCUCCUCCACAUGCCCCACCCUCACAUGCCCCCUCCCCACAAAAAGCCUCUCCUUCCUUCCUUAUUUUUUUUCUCCUUUUAUAACUUGGCUUUUCCUUACCGGCCUCAACCUAUUCAAGGGUCUUGGCCCACCUGAAGUGAUCCUUCCGGAACUGGGCCACAGUUUUGCCCUCCAAGCUUCGCUGUUGCCUGCCCCCCUUCCAUGUUCUAUGGGGCUCUUUAAAGUUCCUUUCCUCUUCCUUGGAUUUGCUUUAUUUCUGCAGAGCUUUCCACUCCUCCUGGGUUGACUUCCCCUGUUGAACUGGAGGCCGAGAGAUCUGGCCUCCUCAUCUUCUGGACUCUUUGAAAUCUGCCUUUUGAACUCUUCCAGGGUCGGUCUAUAUGCACCCCCCCUUCUCCAGUGCAAGUUCAAAGACAUAAGGGGUCCUUCUCCCAAGCUGCUCCAUCAUUCCCACCCCAGAGUCUACAAGAGAAUUGCCCUCUGUUGGUUUCUACACCUUUUCAAGGAUUAAUUCUCAUUGACAAGUCAAAACAAUUGCUAGAGAGAAAAAAAGAGAAGCUGGGAAAAUGAGGGAAGAAGGGAGAAGAGAGCCAGAUUAGCUGGAAGAGCCCAAUGGGUUUCACUUGGAGUCAAAGCCUCCCCUCUGUGAUGGACCGCCCGCUUCUCUCCAUGGGCCUCAGUAGGCCGCCUACUUCUCUCUGUGGGCCUCAUCUUCCCCCAUCCAGAAGGGGCAGCUUGGAGCAUAUCGGUUCUGAGCUAGGAUUUCACAUCACAUCUCCUUCCCAAGCUCCUUCUCCGUUUCCUUGGCUCCUCGUGGAUUUCCUCUUGGGCCUCGUGGCCCGGGUAUGGGGGCGCUUCUCUCUCGGCUGCCAUGACCUUUCAUUCCAGUCCCUGUGGUCCUUGCUUCCUUCACAGAGCGGGACUCUCUCCUUGCCUCUUCUUUCCCCGUUGUCAUUAUUCACACUAAUUCCGGAGCCAUUCUUGAGUCACCCCAAGUCCCCGGGCCCAUUCUAACCAGCUGGGAGUGGUAUCUGAGGUCAAAUCACCUUUCACAUGCCGGGAUCUCAAUAUCGCUUUGCCUCCGGCCCACCCUUUGUGAACUUCUGUGUAGACCCUCGGAGGCUCUGGGGCUUGUUGCUGCCUCCUUUCUGUGACUUUCUGGGUGUAUCUCUCCUGCUAUUUUCCUUCCUGCAGUGUAGCGACUGUCUGUCUAGGAUGGUGGAGGUACAGAAACCGAGUUUUGUCUUUCCUUUCUUUUUUCUUUUUUAGUUGCAAACCCUUUUGCUUUGAUUUGCAACCCUCCAGAAAGCCGACACAUUUGUUAAGGGGCUGCUAAGUGCCGGGCCCCAAGUGAAGUGCUUGGGGUUACUAAGCAAGGCAAAAACAUGGUCCUCGCCCUCAAGGACUUCACGAUCUAAUUGGGGAGACGACGUGUUUCCGACUAUGGCCGUGUGAGGGAUGCACUAGCUCUUGUGUACUUGGGUAUGUUAGGUAUACUCCAUCCCCGGCCACGCUCUUGGUGCUAACACCCUGAGCUGAGGCUCAGAAAGCCAAAUGGUAUUAUUAGAUGCCUUUUUUUGCUUUGAUACAAUCUUGCACUCUGGGGAGAAAUCUGCCAGGCAGAGCAGGAGGAAGGAAGGCUGGCAGGGAGAAAGGACCAACCCAGCUGUGUGACUUCUCUGUGAAGUGGGGAUAGUAAAGACAUCUAUCUACCCUCCAGGAUUCAAGUUUUCAAAGUGCUCUGCAGAGCUAAGAGGCAACAAAAUAUCAGCCAUUGACGUUCUUUCCUACGGCGACCUCGAGAGGAGGGGUCAGCUGUGGUGUAAGCCGGGGGAUGAGCCCAAAUUGUAAUUUGUGAGCCUUCUCACAGAUUCUCCAAGUAGAGGGCAGGUCACCUGUGCGAGUGGUGUGGAGCCAUGAGGGGGAGCAAACGGACAUUGGUAAUGGGGCGAAGUGAGGACGUAACCUCUGAAGGUGGAAAAAGACGAGCAGGAUACCGGGGGGGCCUUGAUCUCAAGCUAGUGUUACUCAAACGUCCCGCCACCAACCCAUGGCUAACGUGGCACCCCUUUCCCCAAUUACUGCCCCCACUUGGGUGGUCUCCUAGGCCUAUUCUGAUAGUAUAACUGAGGAGUGGGUCUCACUGGCAAGUGGAGGAGCCAGAAGCCCAGAAUGCCAAUCGCAACUCUGGACUCGGUAGCUGUGUCAUCUCUGGUUAGUCAUUUCCUCUCCCUUUAGCUCCAGAGCUGGGAUUGCUCCUGUGAUAGAUGUCCUGAGAUGGGGAGUGACUGGAACUUGGCCCUUUGUGCAGUAGAGGCAGAAGGGAAGGCAAGGCAGAACGUUGGCCCAGGGGACCUUUAAAUAGAGAUUUUGGAUAAAUAUCCCCUGAGUUGGGCGACCUCUCCGGGCCUCUGUGAUUUCACUGGGGUAGGGAACUCCGGAAGAAGAAACGACAUCUCCAGAUUUAGACUAGCAACUGUUGGGGAUCUUCUAGAGUGACCGGCAGGCACAGAAACAUAGGUGGCAGAGGUGGGCCUGGAAGCCUGGCCUCCUCGUAUUCCCCCCAGCUAGCUUAGGGCCUGAUACACGUGUGCAGGGAUUCAUCGGCUGAUUGCUGACCUGUAGGGUGUCGUGCCGCCCGUGGUUAUCGGAGCACCUGGGCCUCCGAGAAGCCGGCUGGCUUUGCGGGUGCGGGUGCGGGUUUGCACAAAGGUGGGAUUUCCUUUGCUCAUCGAAGCCAGAGACACUGUAAACUUGGAGAGGGCUGCUGGGACCAGGUGGCCUUGGAGAUCGAUCCCCCGCCUUCAGCCGCCCGGGCCAUGACAUCAUCUCCUUUUAUUCCACCCACCACAUGGCAAGGAGGUCAGGUUCCCUUAUUUGAGCAGCUUGUCGCUGCUGUCGGCCUGUGCCCCAAACAAGGCCCGGGCAGGGCUUCUAAUUCAAGGCUGAAAAGGCAGGCUGUUCUUGUGUCUGGCCCAGAGGCAGGGAAAGAGGUGGGCCUGCAGAAGGGGCCGACUAGCGUCCUUCCUGCAGCAGCCAAGCCCUCCUCUGGCUCAACAAGAUACACCCGUUGCCCUAAGUGGGGACGGAUGCCCAGGGCUGGUUCAUUCAGGAAAUUGUGCUGGAAGCCGAGAUCUGAAGACCAGCUAGUCCAAUCCCUUCCCCCUUGUACAAGAAGGUCACUUUGCCACCUUGGGCCUCAGUUUCCCCACCUACAAAAUGGUUAGAGAGCUAGUUGGAGUCUGUAAAAGGCUUUGCAAACCUUCAAGUGUUCUGGAAAUGUGAACGGUUCAUUCGGGUUACGUGGUGUUAUUUCUUGAACCCACAAUCCUCCCCCAUGGCCUCCUGGGGGUGUGGCAGUGGCCUUGUUUUUAGGCUUUCUUGUUGUUCUUUUGUUGAUAUCUGUGACAUUGUAUCUGUUCCCAACUGUCUCUUGUAACAAAGAAGUCCGAGAUGAAGAACUAGGUCAGGGACUCCCACUUCUUCAUCUUCACUGGGCACGUUCUUGGUGUUUGGGAGUCUGGCCACGUGGCUUCCCUUUCCCCCGCCGGCCAGUUCCGGUGGCGCUGCUCCCUUCACUCUGCGUCAGUUCGUCAGAGUCCUCCCAAGCCGCUUACUGCUCAGAGUGCCGUCCUGUGGCGCUCCCUUCACAUGGUGGACUUUGUGGCUAUUUGAUGAGCGCACGCCCCUAGGAGACCACUGCCAGGCUGCCCCUCCCGUAGCCCGCCACAAGUUGAUGAGGGCACUGGGCUACGUGACUCUAUGAAACAGGGUUCUGGUUCCAAGAGAUGAGCUCUCUCUGGUCUGUCCAAAACUGAGUAUAAAAGGGGGACAGAACUGUCCACAGUUCAAACUGAGUAUAAAAGUUACACGGCUAGACGCCUCCACUUCUCCAACAGAAAUGAAUGGGAACAAAAGUCCCGAAGGAACCCGUGUGGCCCCUUCAGGGAUCCCACUGCCACCCGCAGAGUCCCCUUCCCCUGCGGUAACCCCCUUCAGCCUGCGCACACAGGGCCCAUUGGUGGCCAGCAUGCAGCUGCAGAAGCUUAACAGUCAGUACCAGGGGGUGCCUAGCACCGAGCCCCAAGACGAGGAAAUGGCCUUGCCCUCGUGGCCGAUGGAGGGGGACGAGCCCGUGGAGUCAGAGACGGCCUCUAUCGAGGCCUUCAACAACCUCUUCGAUUUUGACCCCAUAGACGAGGAGUUGCUCAUGUCCCUGGUGAUGGAGCUGGGCUUGGACCAAGCUGGUGAGCUACCCGAGCUCUGGCUGGACCAAGAUGACCUUGACUUGUCCACCGACCUGCCCCCCAGCUAAAGUCCUGGGCAUCCCAGGGGGCAGAGGGGCAGCCGUACCCACUGCGGGUAGCGGGAUGGAGAUGGGCCCCAGCUUAGCUAGCCUUUUGACAAGCUCCUGUGCUCAUUAUCAAUAAAACAAUUUUACCCGUG
Antechinus flavipes (yellow-footed antechinus) is the source of this 7138-nucleotide RNA transcript. It is a transcript of the gene named Cbp/p300 interacting transactivator with Glu/Asp rich carboxy-terminal domain 1, with no coding region annotated. The record is from RefSeq and is a predicted model, not a curated record. The transcript has 4 exons. NCBI's taxonomy places the organism in Eukaryota, Metazoa, Chordata, Mammalia, Dasyuromorphia, Dasyuridae.